This 236-nucleotide long non-coding RNA is filed under the name Vitis vinifera (wine grape). RNAcentral describes it as "long non-coding RNA (VVIN_LNC004605)". Lineage: Eukaryota; Viridiplantae; Streptophyta; Magnoliopsida; Vitales; Vitaceae. The record is from RNAcentral.
UUAUAACUAACUUUUUCCCUGCGAGAAGUUAGAUAAUAUCAAUUCAUUCAAUUAUAAGCAAUGAAAACAAGAUAAAAAAAAAUGUAAUGAGGCAUAAGAAUUUUUACAUGGAAAACCCCCACACUGACUGUGAAGAUAAAAAACCACGAGCUCUAAGACCACUAAACUAAAUCUACUAUAUGAGAUCAAGUUACACGAAUUUAACUAGCCUCUUUACCCUAAAGACUUAUUCUCUG